AUUGAACGCUGGCGGCAGGCCUAACACAUGCAAGUCGAACGGUAACAGGAAGAAGCUUGCUUCUUUGCUGACGAGUGGCGGACGGGUGAGUAAUGUCUGGGAAACUGCCUGAUGGAGGGGGAUAACUACUGGAAACGGUAGCUAAUACCGCAUAACGUCGCAAGACCAAAAAGGGGGACCUUCGGGCCUCUUGCCAUCGGAUGUGCCCAGAUGGGAUUAGCUAGUAGGUGGGGUAACGGCUCACCUAGGCGACGAUCCCUAGCUGGUCUGAGAGGAUGACCAGCCACACUGGAACUGAGACACGGUCCAGACUCCUACGGGAGGCAGCAGUGGGGAAUAUUGCACAAUGGGCGCAAGCCUGAUGCAGCCAUGCCGCGUGUAUGAAGAAGGCCUUCGGGUUGUAAAGUACUUUCAGCGGGGAGGAAGGGAGUAAAGUUAAUACCUUUGCUCAUUGACGUUACCCGCAGAAGAAGCACCGGCUAAGUCCGUG
This 490-nucleotide ribosomal RNA is filed under the name uncultured bacterium. RNAcentral describes it as "partial 16S ribosomal RNA". It matches the Rfam family "Bacterial small subunit ribosomal RNA", at positions 30 to 507 of the family's 1533-position model. The record is from RNAcentral.